ACACCUCAACUCUCAUGGUUUACCAUGACGAGCUUGGACUUUGGAGGUCUUGCUGGCCGGUGGCCAGCUCCUCUCAAAUGAAUUGGCUUGCCAGUGUUUGGUGGCAUCACGGGUGUGAUAACUAUCUACGCUUGUGGUUUUCCACCAGGUAACCUCCAGUGAUGGAGGUUCGCUGGAGCUCACAAACGUCUCUCCUUGCGAGGACAACUUCUGAAC
This 216-nucleotide unclassified non-coding RNA is filed under the name uncultured Tomentella. Its description in RNAcentral is "sequence contains ITS2". The record is from RNAcentral. Lineage: Eukaryota; Fungi; Basidiomycota; Agaricomycetes; Thelephorales; Thelephoraceae.